RNAcentral lists this ribosomal RNA (1517 nucleotides) under Lactiplantibacillus plantarum. RNAcentral's name for it is "bacterial SSU rRNA". It matches the Rfam family "Bacterial small subunit ribosomal RNA". The record is from RNAcentral. Lineage: Bacteria; Bacillati; Bacillota; Bacilli; Lactobacillales; Lactobacillaceae.
GACGAACGCUGSCGGCGUGCCUAAUACAUGCAAGUCGAACGAACUCUGGUAUUGAUUGGUGCUUGCAUCAUGAUUUACAUUUGAGUGAGUGGCGAACUGGUGAGUAACACGUGGGAAACCUGCCCAGAAGCGGGGGAUAACACCUGGAAACAGAUGCUAAUACCGCAUAACAACUUGGACCGCAUGGUCCGAGUUUGAAAGAUGGCUUCGGCUAUCACUUUUGGAUGGUCCCGCGGCGUAUUAGCUAGAUGGGGGGUAACGGCUCACCAUGGCAAUGAUACGUAGCCGACCUGAGAGGGUAAUCGGCCACAUUGGGACUGAGACACGGCCCAAACUCCUACGGGAGGCAGCAGUAGGGAAUCUUCCACAAUGGACGAAAGUCUGAUGGAGCAACGCCGCGUGAGUGAAGAAGGGUUUCGGCUCGUAAAACUCUGUUGUUAAAGAAGAACAUAUCUGAGAGUAACUGUUCAGGUAUUGACGGUAUUUAACCAGAAAGCCACGGCUAACUACGUGCCAGCAGCCGCGGUAAUACGUAGGUGGCAAGCGUUGUCCGGAUUUAUUGGGCGUAAAGCGAGCGCAGGCGGUUUUUUAAGUCUGAUGUGAAAGCCUUCGGCUCAACCGAAGAAGUGCAUCGGAAACUGGGAAACUUGAGUGCAGAAGAGGACAGUGGAACUCCAUGUGUAGCGGUGAAAUGCGUAGAUAUAUGGAAGAACACCAGUGGCGAAGGCGGCUGUCUGGUCUGUAACUGACGCUGAGGCUCGAAAGUAUGGGUAGCAAACAGGAUUAGAUACCCUGGUAGUCCAUACCGUAAACGAUGAAUGCUAAGUGUUGGAGGGUUUCCGCCCUUCAGUGCUGCAGCUAACGCAUAAGCAUUCCGCCUGGGGAGUACGGCCGCAAGGCUGAAACUCAAAGGAAUUGACGGGGGCCCGCACAAGCGGUGGAGCAUGUGGUUUAAUUCGAAGCUACGCGAAGAACCUUACCAGGUCUUGACAUACUAUGCAAAUCUAAGAGAUUAGACGUUCCCUUCGGGGACAUGGAUACAGGUGGUGCAUGGUUGUCGUCAGCUCGUGUCGUGAGAUGUUGGGUUAAGUCCCGCAACGAGCGCAACCCUUAUUAUCAGUUCCAGCAUUAAGUUGGGCACUCUGGUGAGACUGCCGGUGACAAACCGGAGGAAGGUGGGGAUGACGUCAAAUCAUCAUGCCCCUUAUGACCUGGGCUACACACGUCUAAAUGGAUGGUACAACGAGUUGCGAACUCGCGAGAGUAAGCUAAUCUCUUAAAGCCAUUCUCAGUUCGGAUUGUAGGCUGCAACUCGCCUACAUGAAGUCGAAUCGCUAGUAAUCGCGGAUCAGCAUGCCGCGGUGAUACGUUCCCGGGCCUUGUACACACCGCCCGUCACACCAUGAGAGUUUGUAACACCCAAAGUCGGUGGGGUAACCUUUUAGGACCAGCCGCUAAGGUGGGACAGAUGAUUAGGGUGAAGUCGUAACAAGGUAGCCGUAGGAGAACGCGGUUGG